Molecule: non-coding RNA, 1263 nt
Organism: Sus scrofa (pig)
Lineage: Eukaryota; Metazoa; Chordata; Mammalia; Artiodactyla; Suidae
Source: RefSeq, a predicted model, not a curated record
AGACAGUGUUGGGCCCCCAUCCUUCUGAGCCACAAAGGGAGUUCCACAGACAUCAACAUUUAAUAUAGCACAGCUAUCUUACUGCACAUGGCUUCUGCCAAUAUUUUCUAUUCGUCUAUGGCUUGUCUUUUUAUUCUUUUGACAGUGUCUCCUGCUGAACAGAAAUCUUUAAUUUUAAUGAAGUUCAGCUUAUCACUUUUUUUUUCAUGGAUCAUGUCUUUCAUUUUGUAUCUAAAAACUCAUUAUCAAACCCAAGGUCACCUAGAUUUUCUCCUUCCCCAGAGAGGCUGCUUUCCAACCUGGAAUGAUUUCUGGGUCACAGUAGGUUGCAUUUCUGUCAGUGCAGCCCUGUUGGCUCAGCUCUCUGCUUCCAUCUGUGGUAUCUCAGUGCCUGCAGGUUGGCAUCCCCACAAUACUGUUCCUAUGUGCUUUUAAUGCCUCCAAAGAAAACUUCUUUGAACUACCACGUCAUCUUUCCAGUUCCCCCAGUUCCUUCCUGUUGUGCACAGAACCCUCAGUUGUUCAUCUUGGGCUCACCAUGAGCUUCAGUCAUCUCAGUCAUAAUCACGGCCCUAAAACAAGCAUAAAAUCUCUCUGGAAAAGCCAAGCUGCUCCUGGGAUAAAACUUUCCAAGGUUUCAUCAAAAGAAACCCUUCUGUGAACAAGAAUUUAAUGGGCAAGAUCAGAAGACACAAGAAAGUCAACAGUUACAUAUGAAGAGUACACAUAGAAGAUCCAGUAAUAGAUAUUAAUUUUUAUACCAAAUUUGACGCACCUCCAAGCAUAAAUAUACCAGCAGGAUUCUAUUGAAUUUUGAAGGUUAAAAGAAGGUCACAAACACACAAAUACCACAACAACUGGUACAUCUCUGCAUGUAUUCAGAUAUUCAAAACUAAAAAGCUUCAAUAUUUGUUCCAGAGUGAAUGUUUAUUACUCACAAACAUGACUUUCAGUCUCUUUUUUGAUGCCUAUACUCAAUAAGAAUUGCACUUCACACAACAACCAGUAUAGACACUUACAAAGAGAAACAGAAGUUUCAAGGACAGUUCUUACUAUAUGUAAACUAUACCAAAUAUAAAAUUUACCAUCAUAUUUUCUAUUCUAUCGUAUUUUAAAACAUUUUCCAACUCAUUAAUUAUUGAUCAUGAAUUUCAACUUCCUAAACUGUUAGUGGGAAUAUAAAUUGCUACAACCACUAUGGAAACAGCAUAGAGAUUCCUCAUAAAACUAAAUAUAGAACUACUAUAUGAUCCAUCAAUUCAA